ACAUGCAAGUCGAGCGAAUCUUGAGGUGCUUGCACCUCUUGGUUAGCGGCGGACGGGUGAGUAACACGUGGGCAACCUGCCUGUAAGACUGGGAUAACACCGGGAAACCGGUGCUAAUACCGGAUAAUCCUUUCCCUCUCAUGAGGGAAAGCUGAAAGUCGGUUUACGCUGACACUUACAGAUGGGCCCGCGGCGCAUUAGCUAGUUGGUGAGGUAACGGCUCACCAAGGCGACGAUGCGUAGCCGACCUGAGAGGGUGAUCGGCCACACUGGGACUGAGACACGGCCCAGACUCCUACGGGAGGCAGCAGUAGGGAAUCUUCCGCAAUGGACGAAAGUCUGACGGAGCAACGCCGCGUGAGCGAUGAAGGCCUUCGGGUCGUAAAGCUCUGUUGUUAGGGAAGAACAAGUACCGGAGUAACUGCCGGUACCUUGACGGUACCUAACCAGAAAGCCACGGCUAACUACGUGCCAGCAGCCGCGGUAAUACGUAGGUGGCAAGCGUUGUCCGGAAUUAUUGGGCGUAAAGCGCGCGCAGGCGGUCCUUUAAGUCUGAUGUGAAAGCCCACGGCUCAACCGUGGAGGGUCAUUGGAAACUGGGGGACUUGAGUACAGAAGAGGAAAGCGGAAUUCCACGUGUAGCGGUGAAAUGCGUAGAGAUGUGGAGGAACACCAGUGGCGAAGGCGGCUUUCUGGUCUGUAACUGACGCUGAGGC
Molecule: ribosomal RNA, 716 nt
Filed under: Bacillus sp. E051
Lineage: Bacteria; Bacillati; Bacillota; Bacilli; Caryophanales; Bacillaceae
Description: bacterial SSU rRNA
Rfam family: Bacterial small subunit ribosomal RNA
Source: RNAcentral